This 59-nucleotide transfer RNA is filed under the name Apaloderma vittatum (bar-tailed trogon). It matches the Rfam family "tRNA", at positions 8 to 63 of the family's 71-position model. From Rfam's summary of the family: Transfer RNA (tRNA) molecules are approximately 80 nucleotides in length. Their secondary structure includes four short double-helical elements and three loops (D, anti-codon, and T loops). The record is from Rfam by way of RNAcentral. Lineage: Eukaryota; Metazoa; Chordata; Aves; Trogoniformes; Trogonidae.
UAGCUCAGUUGGUUAGAGUGUGGUGCUGGUAACACCAAGGUCGCGGGUUCGAUUCCUGU